UCCAGACUCCUACGGGAGGCAGCAGUGGGGAAUAUUGCACAAUGGAGGAAACUCUGAUGCAGCGAUGCCGCGUGAGGGAAGAAGGUUUUCGGAUUGUAAACCUCUGUCUUAAGGGACGAUAAUGACGGUACCUUAGGAGGAAGCUCCGGCUAACUCCGUGCCAGCAGCCGCGGUAAUACGGAGGAUGCGAGCGUUAUCCGGAUUUAUUGGGUUUAAAGGGUGCGUAGGCGGAAUGCCAAGUCAGCGGUAAAAUCGCGGGGCUCAACCUCGCUCCGCCGUUGAAACUGGCGUUCUUGAGUGGGCGAGAAGUAUGCGGAAUGCGUGGUGUAGCGGUGAAAUGCAUAGAUAUCACGCAGAACUCCGAUUGCGAAGGCAGCAUACCGGCGCCCAACUGACGCUGAAGCACGAAAGCGUGGGUAUCGAACAGGAUUAGAUACCCCAGUA
This 444-nucleotide ribosomal RNA is filed under the name uncultured bacterium. RNAcentral describes it as "bacterial SSU rRNA". It matches the Rfam family "Bacterial small subunit ribosomal RNA", at positions 330 to 792 of the family's 1533-position model. The record is from RNAcentral.